RNAcentral lists this ribosomal RNA (502 nucleotides) under uncultured bacterium. RNAcentral's name for it is "partial 16S ribosomal RNA". It matches the Rfam family "Bacterial small subunit ribosomal RNA", at positions 28 to 523 of the family's 1533-position model. The record is from RNAcentral.
GACGAACGCUGGCGGCGUGCCUAAUACAUGCAAGUCGAACGGUAACAGGCCUGAAAGGGUGCUGACGAGUGGCGGACGGGUGAGUAAAGCGGAGGGAUCUGGCUGGUUGAGGGGGAUAGCUUAGGGAAACUUAAGGUAAUACCGCAUAAGCCCGAGAGGGGAAAGCAGGGGACUGUGAAAGGCCUUGUGCGAUGAGAUGAACAUACGUCGGAUUAGCUAGUUGGUAAGGUAAAGGCUUACCAAGGAAAUGAUCCGUAGCUGGUCGGAGAGGACGACCAGCCACACUGGGACUGAGACACGGCCCAGACUCCUACGGGAGGCAGCAGUGGGGAAUAUUGGACAAUGGGCGGAAGCCUGAUCCAGCAAUGCCGCGUGUGUGAAGAAGGCCUGCGGGUUGUAAAGCACUUUCAGAGGGGAGAAGGAAGCCAUUUUGAAUAGAGAUGGUGGAAGAUGUUACCUUCAGAAGAAGCACCGGCUAACUCUGUGCCAGCCGCCGCCGUAG